RNAcentral lists this microRNA precursor (153 nucleotides) under Erythranthe guttata (spotted monkey flower). Its description in RNAcentral is "Mimulus guttatus (spotted monkey flower) mir-393 microRNA precursor family". It matches the Rfam family "mir-393 microRNA precursor family". Lineage: Eukaryota; Viridiplantae; Streptophyta; Magnoliopsida; Lamiales; Phrymaceae. The record is from Rfam by way of RNAcentral.
AAAGGAGGAGUCCAAAGGGAUCGCAUUGAUCCCAAUUUAUAUAUAUUACAUAUACAUAUAUUUUUCCUAAUUAUUUUUUUUUUCUUUUUUCAAAUUUAUUCUUCUUGAAUAUUUAUUAAUUUUGGAUCAUGCUAUCCCUUGGGAUUCAUCCUU